Molecule: small nuclear RNA, 118 nt
Organism: Pyrus x bretschneideri (Chinese white pear)
Lineage: Eukaryota; Viridiplantae; Streptophyta; Magnoliopsida; Rosales; Rosaceae
Product: U5 spliceosomal RNA
Exons: 1
Source: RefSeq, a predicted model, not a curated record
AGCCAUGCGGUGAGCACAGAGCGAACUAUUCUUUCGCCUUUUACUAAAGAAUACCGUGUGCUCGCCUCAAAUAGUGGCAUACACCAAUUUUUGGGGGAGUUUCUCUCCACAGAGAAGC